GCGGGCGUAGUAUAAUGGUAGUAUGCGACCUUCCCAAGGUUGAGGCGUGGGUUCGAUUCCCAUCGUCCGCUCAA
RNAcentral lists this transfer RNA (74 nucleotides) under Patescibacteria group bacterium. Its description in RNAcentral is "tRNA-Gly". It matches the Rfam family "tRNA". From Rfam's summary of the family: Transfer RNA (tRNA) molecules are approximately 80 nucleotides in length. The record is from RNAcentral.